GUGGGGAAUAUUGGGCAAUGGGGGAAAUCCUGACCCAGCAACGCCGCGUGAAGGAAGAAGGUUUUCGGAUCGUAAACUUCUAUCCUUGGUGAAGAUAAUGACGGUAGCCAAGAAGGAAGCCCCGGCUAACUACGUGCCAGCAGCCGCGGUAAUACGUAGGGGGCAAGCGUUGUCCGGAAUGAUUGGGCGUAAAGGGCGCGUAGGCGGCCUGGUAAGUCUGGAGUGAAAGUCCUGCUUUUAAGGUGGGAAUUGCUUUGGAUACUGUCGGGCUUGAGUGCAGGAGAGGUAAGCGGAAUUCCCGGUGUAGCGGUGAAAUGCGUAGAGAUCGGGAGGAACACCAGUGGCGAAGGCGGCUUACUGGACUGUAACUGACGCUGAGGCGCGAAAGUGUGGGGAGCAAACAGGAUUAGAAACCCUGGUAGUCC
This 425-nucleotide ribosomal RNA is filed under the name uncultured bacterium. RNAcentral describes it as "partial 16S ribosomal RNA". It matches the Rfam family "Bacterial small subunit ribosomal RNA", at positions 354 to 796 of the family's 1533-position model. The record is from RNAcentral.